RNAcentral lists this ribosomal RNA (448 nucleotides) under uncultured bacterium. Its description in RNAcentral is "SSU rRNA". It matches the Rfam family "Bacterial small subunit ribosomal RNA", at positions 26 to 518 of the family's 1533-position model. The record is from RNAcentral.
AGAACGAACGCUGGCGGCAGGCUUAACACAUGCAAGUCGAACGCUCGUAGCAAUACGGGAGUGGCAGACGGGUGAGUAACGCGUGGGAACAUACCCUCCGGUUCGGAAUAGCUCAGGGAAACUUGGAUUAAUACCGGAUACGGCUGAGAGGCGAAAGAUUUAUCGCCGGAGGAUUGGCCCGCGUUCGAUUAGCUUGUUGGUGAGGUAACGGCUCACCAAGGCGAUGAUCGAUAGCUGGUCUGAGAGGAUGAUCAGCCACAUUGGGACUGAGACACGGCCCAAACUCCUACGGGAGGCAGCAGUGGGGAAUAUUGGACAAUGGGCGCAAGCCUGAUCCAGCCAUGCCGCGUGAGUGAUGACGGCCUUAGGGUUGUAAAGCUCUUUCGCUCGGGACGAUAAUGACGGUACCGAGAUAAGAAGCCCCGGCUAACUUCGCGCCAGCAGCCGC